Molecule: long non-coding RNA, 306 nt
Filed under: Gossypium barbadense (sea-island cotton)
Lineage: Eukaryota; Viridiplantae; Streptophyta; Magnoliopsida; Malvales; Malvaceae
Description: long non-coding RNA (GBAR_LNC017990)
Source: RNAcentral
AAAGGAUCGUCCUGGAUACAAAGAUUUACAUUAAAAAAGGGACCAAGUAAAACAUAGAUCAAAUGAUGCUCUACUUAAAGUAGUAAGGAAGGUCGAGGACAUACAGGAGGAAGUAAGCCCAAGUGACACCAGAGAUUCCACCAAAGAAGAACCCUCCAGUGAACUUAGCCCAUCCAUCCGCCGUUUGCAACUGGUCUGGCUCUUUCUUCCUCCCAGUCAGGGUUAGGCUCGGUGCUAUCGAUGGCUCACCUUCUUUGAACGAUGCAACGCCAUACAUCGUCAAGCAAAUGCUGAGGAUCACAACCA